CAAGUCGAACGAAGGCCCUAGCUUGCUAGGUGUCCUUAGUGGCGCACGGGUGAGUAACACGUGGGAACAUACCUCAUAGUACGGAAUAACUGCGGGAAACUGUAGCUAAUACCGUAUACUCCAGUAAUGGGAAAGAUUUAUCGCUAUGAGAUUGGCCCGCGCAAGAUUAGUUUGUUGGUAAGGUAAUGGCUUACCAAGGCUACGAUCUUUAGCUGGUUUGAGAGGAUGAUCAGCCACACUGGGACUGAGACACGGCCCAGACUCCUACGGGAGGCAGCAGUAGGGAAUAUUGGACAAUGGGGGAAACCCUGAUCCAGCAAUGCAGCGUGAGUGACGAAGGCCUUAGGGUUGUAAAACUCUUUCAUUGGUGAGGAUAAUGACAGUAACCGAAGAGGAAGGACCGGCUAAUUCCGUGCCAGCAGCCGCGGUAAUACGGAAGGUCCUAGCGUUGUUCGGAAUUACUGGGCGUAAAGCGCAUGUAGGCGGAACAGAAAGUUAGAAGUGAAAUCCCUGGGCUCAACCUAGGAAUUGCUUUUAAAACUUCUGUUCUGGAAUUAAGGAGAGGAAAAUGGAAUAUCCAGUGUAGAGGUGAAAUUCGUAGAUAUUGGAUGGAACACCAGUGGCGAAGGCGAUUUUCUGGACUUGUAUUGACGCUGAGAUGCGAAGGCAUGGGUAGCAAACGGGAUUAGAUACCC
Molecule: ribosomal RNA, 695 nt
Filed under: uncultured marine bacterium
Lineage: Bacteria
Description: bacterial SSU rRNA
Rfam family: Bacterial small subunit ribosomal RNA
Source: RNAcentral